ACUGCAAGUCGAGCGAAUGGAUUGAGAGCUUGCUCUCAAGAAGUUAGCGGCGGACGGGUGAGUAACACGUGGGUAACCUGCCCAUAAGACUGGGAUAACUCCGGGAAACCGGGGCUAAUACCGGAUAACAUUUUGAACUGCAUGGUUCGAAAUUGAAAGGCGGCUUCGGCUGUCACUUAUGGAUGGACCCGCGUCGCAUUAGCUAGUUGGUGAGGUAACGGCUCACCAAGGCAACGAUGCGUAGCCGACCUGAGAGGGUGAUCGGCCACACUGGGACUGAGACACGGCCCAGACUCCUACGGGAGGCAGCAGUAGGGAAUCUUCCGCAAUGGACGAAAGUCUGACGGAGCAACGCCGCGUGAGUGAUGAAGGCUUUCGGGUCGUAAAACUCUGUUGUUAGGGAAGAACAAGUGCUAGUUGAAUAAGCUGGCACCUUGACGGUACCUAACCAGAAAGCCACGGCUAACUACGUGCCAGCAGCCGCGGUAAUACGUAGGUGGCAAGCGUUAUCCGGAAUUAUUGGGCGUAAAGCGCGCGCAGGUGGUUUCUUAAGUCUGAUGUGAAAGCCCACGGCUCAACCGUGGAGGGUCAUUGGAAACUGGGAGACUUGAGUGCAGAAAAGGAAAGUGGAAUUCCAUGUGUAGCGGUGAAAUGCGUAUAGAUAUGGAGGAACACCAGUGGCGAAAGCGACUUUCUGGUCGGUAACUGAGACUGAGGGGGCGAAAGCGUGGGGAGCA
RNAcentral lists this ribosomal RNA (737 nucleotides) under Bacillus thuringiensis. RNAcentral's name for it is "bacterial SSU rRNA". It matches the Rfam family "Bacterial small subunit ribosomal RNA", at positions 53 to 770 of the family's 1533-position model. The record is from RNAcentral. Lineage: Bacteria; Bacillati; Bacillota; Bacilli; Caryophanales; Bacillaceae.